Molecule: long non-coding RNA, 325 nt
Organism: Zingiber officinale
Lineage: Eukaryota; Viridiplantae; Streptophyta; Magnoliopsida; Zingiberales; Zingiberaceae
Exons: 3
Source: RefSeq, a predicted model, not a curated record
ACUGCUGGGAUUGCUGGGGUCAUGUUCACUGGGGUUUAUGUGCUGGUUGACAUCUAUGGCUACAGGAAGCCAACCUUGGUCAUGGAAUGGCUAGGGACGCAUGCAUUGAUGGUCUACAUUCUAUUAGGUUGCAACAUCUUCCCUUUAUUUGCCCAAGGAUUCUACUUGAGGGAGCCUGAGAACAAUAUAAUCACUAUCAAGGAAGAAUGUUCAAAGGAAAGUAAAGGCUAAGGAGAAGAAACCAUAUACUCCUUUCCCUCCUCAGCUACCAAGCAAGGUGUCCUCAAGAGUAUUGGGAAGAAUGCCGACAAGCUAAAAAAAUGGA